UACGGAGGGUGCGAGCGUUGUCCGGAAUCAUUGGGCGUAAAGGGCGCGUAGGUGGCCCGGUCAGUUCGUGGUGAAAGCGCGGGGCUCAACCCUGGAAUUGCCUUUGAUACUGGCGAUCUUGAGUACGGGAGAGGUGUGUGGAACUCCGAGUGUAGAGGUGAAAUUCGUAGAUAUUCGGAAGAACACCAGUGGCGAAGGCGACACACUGGCCCGUUACUGACGCUGAGGCGCGAAAGCGUGGGGAGCAAACAGG
RNAcentral lists this ribosomal RNA (253 nucleotides) under uncultured bacterium. Its description in RNAcentral is "partial 16S ribosomal RNA". It matches the Rfam family "Bacterial small subunit ribosomal RNA", at positions 524 to 776 of the family's 1533-position model. The record is from RNAcentral.